GCCCGCCAGGACAUCCUCGGCGGAGAACGCGCCCGCGCGGCGACCGGACCUGGAGCUCGCAGCUCCGCAGCCGCAGCCCCGCAGCCCCGCAGAUUCUCGGCCCUGGUUUUAAGAUGAUGGGAUUGGGAAAUGGGCGUCGCAGCAUGAAGUCUCCGCCCCUUAUCGUGGCCGCCCUGGUGGCCUGUGUCAUUGUGCUGGGCUUCAACUACUGGAUUGCGAGCUCCAGAAGUGUGGAACUUCAGUCACGCAUUGUGGAGCUGGAAGUCCGGGUCCGCAGGGCAGCCGCAGAGAGGGGUGCUGUGGAGCUGAAGAAGAAUGAGUUCCAGGGUGAGCUGGAGAGGCAGCGAGAGCAGCUGGACAGGAUCCAAUCCAGCCACAGCUUCCAGCUGGAGAAUGUCAACAGGAUGCACCAGGACGAGAAGGCGGUUUUAGUGAGUAACAUCACCACAGGCGAAAAGCUCAUCAGAGACCUGCAAGACCAGUUGAAGGCUCUGCAGAGGAGUUACGGGAGGCUGCAGCAGGACAUCGUCCAGUUCCAGAAGAACCAGACUAGCCUGGAGAAGAAGUUCUCCUAUGACCUGAGCCAGUGUAUUAACCAGAUGAAAGAGGUGAAGGAACAGUGUGAGGAACGAAUAGAAGAAGUCACCAGGAGGAGAAAUGAAGCAGCAGUUUCCAGAGGUGUGGGUGAAAGAAACGACCAGCCUCAGCAGACCCUCAAGACUCAGCCCAAGCUUCCACAAGUAGUCCCACCACAGGAACAGGUGCCCCAAGAGAAAGAGGCUGUGCCCAGAAACAAGUCCCAGACACCAGCCCCCAGCUCAGAGGUGCGGGGUUUGAAACCACACCAGCAGAAUGAGGAAACCAACGAGAUUCAGGUCGUCAGUGAGGAGCAUGGUCUGGGACCACCGAAGGCAUCAGUCCAAGAACAGGUCCCCAUGGAUGGCACCCUUGGAGGAGCUGGGAAACCUCCUCCCAUGACACAAGGACCAGCUGCCCUGUUGGCCAGGCCUGAGGAUUCUCAGUACCCUGACCGGGACCAGCUUGUCAUCCGAGAUGAGCAGAAGCAGCAUGCAGCUGAGGAAGGGAGAAACCAGGGAGAUGAAUACAGCAUGGAUGAAAAUGAAGCCGAGUCUGAGAGAGACAAGCAGGCAGUCCUUGCAGGGAACGACAGAGAUAUCAAUGGUAAGGUUUCUGUGUAUAGCCCUGGGUGUACUGGAAUUCACUCUGUAGACCAGGCUAGCCUCAACUGGGAGAUUGCCUUCACCUGCCCCUGACUCCCAAGUGAGUGCUGAGAAUAAAAGUGUGUGCCACCAUGCCCAUCUCACUCGAAUACUCUUGGAUCAUCGUUUUUCCAAGUGUACUGACCUAAUCUGGGUGACAAGUCCUUCAAUCUGGAUGUCUGAUUCUACAGUGUUUAUCCAGCAUGUCACCUGUUUCAACAAGUUUUUAAUGUUGAAGAUCAGAAGAGAGGCCCAAUAGAUUUACUCAAUGGGAGUGAAAAACAGAAUCUCAUCCUAAAUCAAGUAGGAGUCCGUAUUCCUCAACAGGCCUGAACAGAGAUCCUGCAAAGACUCACGAGUGACUGAGUACUCAACUGUGAAAUGUACCAAGUAAACUGUGCAUCGGCUGA
Molecule: non-coding RNA, 1630 nt
Organism: Peromyscus maniculatus bairdii (prairie deer mouse)
Lineage: Eukaryota; Metazoa; Chordata; Mammalia; Rodentia; Cricetidae
Source: RefSeq, a predicted model, not a curated record